CACGCCUUAGCCGGAAGUCCCACCCUUUCCCCGGAACCCCGCGGGCGGGUCCCGCAGUGAGGGGCCGGCGCGGAGGUGCUCCCCGCGAGGCCCUGGUGCGCGGGGCCCGGGACGCGCGCGCUCGGCACCUUCUCGCGUGCGAGCGCCGCCUCGGGUUGGGUGCUCAGUCAGGGAGGGUGCUCUGUGUGAAAGGAGCGGUGCCUUCCGCGGACCAGCAGGUCCCGCUCGGUCUCCCGGCGGCAGCAGGGUCCUGGAAGCUGGGCUCCAGGCGACCUGGGUGCCGCGUUGAGUGCCAGCGAGGAGCAGUUUGUCUCCGCCUUCGGCCGAGAUGAGAGGAGACUCGUCGUGACCUUGCAGACUUGCAGCUUAGUUUUUCAUGAUCACCAAAUCAAAGAGAGACUUGAAAGUACAAAAUUCCCCAAAGAAAGGCACCUGCAGCCCACUGCCACAGAGCUGUGGCUGACAUUUUGAUUAGCAUCUUUCAAGUCUUCCAUUCUCAUGAUUUUUCUGUGCAAUAAAUGAAAUUUUUCUUUCAUAAAAUUAUAUUGCACAGUGCUUUACUAGCCUACUGUUUAUACCUCUUUACUAGCCUACUGUUUAUACCUCUUUACUAGCCUAUUGUUUAUACCUCUUUACUAGCCUACUGUUUAU
Molecule: long non-coding RNA, 651 nt
Filed under: Marmota monax (woodchuck)
Lineage: Eukaryota; Metazoa; Chordata; Mammalia; Rodentia; Sciuridae
Source: RNAcentral